This 556-nucleotide ribosomal RNA is filed under the name uncultured bacterium. RNAcentral's name for it is "partial 16S ribosomal RNA". It matches the Rfam family "Bacterial small subunit ribosomal RNA", at positions 355 to 932 of the family's 1533-position model. The record is from RNAcentral.
UGGGGAAUAUUGCACAAUGGGCGAAAGCCUGAUGCAGCAACGCCGCGUGAGUGAUGAAGGCCUUCGGGUUGUAAAGCUCUGUCUUUUGGGACGAUAAUGACGGUACCAAAGGAGGAAGCCACGGCUAACUACGUGCCAGCAGCCGCGGUAAUACGUAGGUGGCAAGCGUUGUCCGGAUUUACUGGGCGUAAAGGAUGCGUAGGCGGAUUUUUAAGUGAGAUGUGAAAACCCUAAGCUUAACUUGGGGACUGCAUUUCAUACUGGAAAUCUAGAGUGCGGGAGAGGAGAAUGGAAUUCUUAGUGUAGCGGUGAAAUGCGUAGAGAUUAGGAAGAACACCAGUGGCGAAGGCGAUUCUCUGGACCGUAACUGACGCUGAGGCAUGAAAGCGUGGGUAGCAAACAGGAUUAGAUACCCUGGUAGUCCACGCCGUAAACGAUGAGUACUAGGUGUAGGAGGUAUCGACCCCUUCUGUGCCGCAGUUAACACAAUAAGUACUCCGCCUGGGAAGUACGAUCGCAAGAUUAAAACUCAAAUGAAUUGACGGGGUCAUAGCUG